This is a long non-coding RNA of Meriones unguiculatus (Mongolian gerbil), 3075 nucleotides long. RefSeq lists it as uncharacterized. The record is from RefSeq and is a predicted model, not a curated record. The transcript is spliced from 4 exons. Lineage: Eukaryota; Metazoa; Chordata; Mammalia; Rodentia; Muridae.
GCAGCGCGCGUCCAUCUUUACCUUUUGGAACAGCAAUGGCUCGUCCCUAAAUUCGCUUCUUUUUGGAAGAAUUCAACUUUUUUAAUGGUCUUGUCACCCGUUUCUUGGUAGUCUCGUUUAUUCGAAGAAGAGAACUCCAGUUUACCCACAAGUAAAAUACCUUCUACAGAAUUGUUUUUCACUACAAGGUCCUCCUCAUCCGACCCUUAAUGGAGAAAGCCGUAGCAAAUUCUCACUCCAGCAGAAAGGUUAGCUAGCUGUUCGCGGAAUGAUAAGAGGAGAUGCCCAGCUGGAAGAAAACCAGUGGUGAGCUGCCAGGGUGCGGCAAGGCACUGCACAGAGCUGUGAGCGCGGGACAGGCCACGGGAGGAAUGUAUCCAACAGAUAGAACCUACUCCUGAGAAACUGUCCUUAGGAAGCCAGUUGUGGCGCUGCAGGCUUAUAAGCUCUGGGGAGACGGGAACAGGCAGAGCCCCAGUACUCACUGGCCAGCUGUCUAGCUUCCUUGGCAAGUUCCAGGUGAUGGGCCUAGGGCACAGGAAAUGCCCUUCCUGAGGCAGCAGAGUGUGCACAGCACAGCGCCUGCAUGACAGAAGGCCUUCUUACCGGACCUCAGUGUGUGCCGGACACUUAACAGGACCGAACUCUACCCUCUGCAGCCACAUCCUCUACUGCUGACCUAUACCCCCGGCCACUCUUAAAGACAAGCAUGGGGCUCAGUGGAAGGGCACUCGCCCAGUGUGUGUGCGGCCCUGCACUACAAAACAAAGUUCAAAAACUGUUUAAGAGAAAAGUCACGAAGGAGAAGUGGCUCACCCACAUUCCUCCAGAAAGGGAGCUUGAGUCCAGGCCAUCCAUCUCUUCCCACUCACCUGCCACUCUACCACCGAGGGCCUGACACCCCUCCUUCCCCUUCUCCUCCAGUCCCCCACCUCCACCUGGCCAGUGUCUCCACAGGACACUGUACUGUGCUGCCAGCUGCAGCUCCCUUCCUCCCGUGGCCUCUGCUCCACAUGUGAACCCCAGGGACUCAAGACCUGCACUGAGACCUCCUCCUCCACACUCACCCUUCCAUGGGGCCUCAGCUACCUGGGAUUCUGCCCUCCUCCCCAUACUAUCCUCUGGCAUGCAGUUUGGAAUUACACUCUCCUUGUUCCCCACACAAACCAUCACAAACCCAAACAAGUUGUGCCCAGGUGUAAAGGCUGAGUCUUCUCCACAGCACCUCAGUCAGCUGUAGGGUGGGCAGUGGGAGGGCCCACAGGCUGAGGGAGAGGGAUAGGCCUCUAUGGCCAGCCCGUGUGCUCUCAUUGGGAGCUAGCCCGCCUCACUCCAGGGAUUUAUUAAGCAUCACCCCUGUGUCAGAUGCUGUGUGACCCUCACUCUCCUCACAGCCCUCAGGCAGGGGACUCACAGAGCCCACGGCUUCGUGGUCAGAGGGUGGUUCCUCUGUGUCACCACUGGCAGGCUCAGAGUGAGGACUGUGCCGGCAUUGGAGAGAAAAGGCAACAGCUCACCUGAUGACAGGGUAUUCAGAGCAUGCAGUGUGCCUCACUGUGUGGCACCUCUGCUCCCUGCCCUUUAAGACAGGGCUUAACUCUCAACUCCGUGAGGGUCUUCUCCUUCCACAGAGGGUUGACAUUCCAUGACUAAAAUAUGCCUCUAGCAAUAGACGUUGCCUUUCAGGUAGUUAAGCGACUCAAAGACAAAACUACCACUUUGAAAAUUAGUAUUACUAUAACUUUUUUUUUUUUUUUUUUCUUUCAAGACAGGGUUUCUCUUUGUAGCCUUGGAUGUCCUAGAACUCUCUUUAUAGACCAGGAUGGCUGGAGAUCCACCUGCCUCUACCUGUUGAGUGCUGGGACUGAAGGUGUGUGUCACCACUGCCUGUCCCCAACCACUUGUUAAACUGAGUUCAUUCACAUCACACUUCCACCUAAUACACUUUCACUUAAUACAGUCACAUGUACCCACAUUCUGGAGCUGGACGUCCCUGUUUCCUUUCUGGUGUCCCACACCUAAGUCUGUGAAGAGAGCUUACUCUCCACCGGGCCUGAAACCACCUGCCUGUAGUCAGACUCCCCCAACACAGUGUCCCCUACAGACUCCCCCAACACAGUGUCCCCAACUGAAGCCCAAUGUUACAGCUUUAUUAGAACAAUGGCUGGUUACUGAGUAACCACCACAAAGGCACACACACCUGCCUCAUACAAGCUUCCCUCCCACUGAGCUUCACAGGCUCUCCAGACAAAAGAUUAAAACAAUACCGAAAGGCCAGAGGCAUAGUGUUCUUUGGGUUGCACUGUAAUCUUAACUGUUUUUCAGACUGGUUCUUAUCUGGUUUGGAUAUUAUUUCCCAAUCUGAGUGUUGAAAACUUGUUGCCCAAACCAAAAAGGGGAGGGGGGAGGAGGAGAGAAAACUUGAUGCCCAUGUGGCAAUGUUAAAAGGAGACCCUGAAGAUGGGUGUGGUGACACAAGACCAUAAUUCCAGCCUUCGGGAGGGAGAGGCAGGACGGUCAGGAGUUCAGAGUCAUCCUGUACCACAUAGCAUGUUUGAAGAUACAUGUCUCAGUCCUCUUUCUCUACAAAGUAAAUGGUGGGCCCAUUCCAAAGUGAGGCUUAAGAUGGCCAGAUUGAUCACCAUCUGUAAUCCCUGGACUCAGGAGCCCAGAAAAGGAAGAUUUUGAGUUGGAGGCUGCACAGUAAGACCCUGAUGCAAAAAAACAAAACAGAACUCGGGGACACAGUAGAGGGUCCUUGAGGCAACACCCUUAGAGGAAACUUGUAAUGAGAAUUCUGGAAGUUUGGUUUCUUUAAAAACUGAAGUAUUACAAUGUUUUAAUCCCAGGUGUGGGGAUGUGGGGCUACUUCAGACUGUCCACAGCAGCUGACCAUCAUUUACCUUGUGCUCUAGCAGGAACAUGGUUUUGCCGGCUGCAGCGAUGGGAAAUGUGCUGAUAGAGAUCUCCCAGUGAUCCACAAUGGUACAACUUGGCACAGCCUGGGCUCUGGUCAUUCCAACCCAAUGACUGGCCCAUAACUGACCUCUCCACCCUGCAUGGUGAUGCAUCUGC